RNAcentral lists this transfer RNA (73 nucleotides) under Marmota monax (woodchuck). Its description in RNAcentral is "tRNA.Ala". The record is from RNAcentral. Lineage: Eukaryota; Metazoa; Chordata; Mammalia; Rodentia; Sciuridae.
UGAAGAUGUGGCUCAGUGGUAGAGCACUUGCCUAGCAGAAUUGGGGUCCUGGGUUCCAUCCCCAGCACUCCAA